Molecule: ribosomal RNA, 226 nt
Filed under: uncultured Bacillota bacterium
Lineage: Bacteria; Bacillati; Bacillota
Description: uncultured Firmicutes bacterium partial 16S ribosomal RNA
Rfam family: Bacterial small subunit ribosomal RNA
Source: RNAcentral
GACAAGCUGGAGGAAGUGGGGAUGACGUCAAAUCAUCAUGCCCUUUAUGACCUGGGCUACAAACGUACUACAAUGGCCAGAUACAAAGAGAUGCGAAGCCGCGAGGUGGAGCGAACCUCAUAAAAAUGGUCUCAGUUCGGAUUGGAGUCUGCAACUCGACUCCAUGAGGUCGGAAUCGCUAGUAAUCGCGGGUCAGCAGACCGCGGUGAAUACGUUCCCGGGUUUU